AUCCCUACGGGAGGCAGCAGUGAGGAAUAUUGGUCAAUGGUCGGGAGACUGAACCAGCCAAGCCGCGUGAGGGAUGAAGGUACAGAGUAUCGUAAACCUCUUUGGACGGGGAGCAAGGCCGCCGACGUGUCGGCGGAAGGAGAGUACCCGUAGAACAAGCAUCGGCUAACUCCGUGCCAGCAGCCGCGGUAAUACGGAGGAUGCGAGCGUUAUCCGGAUUUAUUGGGUUUAAAGGGUGCGCAGGCGGCACGGCAAGCCGGCGGUCAAAUCGCGGGGCUCAACCCCGCCCAGCCGUCGGAACUGCC
This 305-nucleotide ribosomal RNA is filed under the name uncultured bacterium. RNAcentral describes it as "bacterial SSU rRNA". It matches the Rfam family "Bacterial small subunit ribosomal RNA", at positions 335 to 637 of the family's 1533-position model. The record is from RNAcentral.